UACGUAGGGGGCUAGCGUUGUCCGGAAUCAUUGGGCGUAAAGCGCGUGUAGGCGGUUCGGUAAGUCCGCUGUGAAAGUCGGGGGCUCAACCCUCGAAUGCCGGUGGAUACUGUCGGACUAGAGUACGGAAGAGGCGAGUGGAAUUCCUGGUGUAGCGGUGAAAUGCGCAGAUAUCGGGAAGAACACCCGUGGCGAAGGCGGCUCUCUGGAACGCAACUGACGCUGAGACGCGAAAGCGUGGGGAGCAAACAGG
This 253-nucleotide ribosomal RNA is filed under the name uncultured bacterium. RNAcentral's name for it is "partial 16S ribosomal RNA". It matches the Rfam family "Bacterial small subunit ribosomal RNA", at positions 524 to 776 of the family's 1533-position model. The record is from RNAcentral.